CCUACGGGCGGCAGCAGUGGGGAAUAUUGCACAAUGGGGGAAACCCUGAUGCAGCGACGCCGCGUGAGUGAAGAAGUAUUUCGGUAUGUAAAGCUCUAUCAGCAGGAACGAAACAAGACGGUACCUGACUAAGAAGCCCCGGCUAACUACGUGCCAGCAGCCGCGGUAAUACGGAGGGGGCAAGCGGUAUCCGUAAUCACUGGGUGUAAGGGGAGCGUAGACGGCUGUGCAAGCCUGAAGUGAAAGGCGGGGGCCCAACCCGUGGACUGCUUCGGGAACUGGACGGCUGGAGUGCAGGAGAGGUAAGUGGAAUUCCUGGUGUAGCGGUGAAAUGCGUAGAUAUUAGGAGGAACACCAGUGGCGAAGGCGGCUUACUGGACUGUAACUGACGUUGAGGCUCGAAAGCGUGGGGAGCAAACAGGAUUAGAUACCCGAGUAGUC
Molecule: ribosomal RNA, 441 nt
Filed under: uncultured bacterium
Lineage: Bacteria
Description: partial 16S ribosomal RNA
Rfam family: Bacterial small subunit ribosomal RNA
Source: RNAcentral